GUGAAUCAUCGAAUUUUUGAACGCAAAUUGCGCUUCCUGGCAUCCCGGGAAGUAUGCCUGUUUGAGGGUCAGUUAAAUAAAAAUCGGUGGUGUUGCUGCUUUUCGUGGUGACGCGUCGGGCUUGAGUUGUCUUACCUUCGGAUAAGUGACUUAAAAUUUUGCAUGAUUUUCGAACGUACUUAAAUUUCUUACGUACGUCUGAGAUAUC
This 208-nucleotide unclassified non-coding RNA is filed under the name Glomeraceae sp. Its description in RNAcentral is "partial contains 5.8S ribosomal RNA and internal transcribed spacer 2". The stretch from base 1 to 71 matches the Rfam family "5.8S ribosomal RNA", at positions 84 to 154 of the family's 154-position model. Lineage: Eukaryota; Fungi; Glomeromycota; Glomeromycetes; Glomerales; Glomeraceae. The record is from RNAcentral.